This is a long non-coding RNA of Erinaceus europaeus (western European hedgehog), 1040 nucleotides long. RefSeq lists it as uncharacterized. Lineage: Eukaryota; Metazoa; Chordata; Mammalia; Eulipotyphla; Erinaceidae. The transcript has 3 exons. The record is from RefSeq and is a predicted model, not a curated record.
UUAUUGGGAAUUAUUUCAGAAGGUCUUUCUGUUCGUGAGAAGUAUGGGGCACAGGAUAGAAAAGGGAAAGAUAGGCAAGCCAGCGGGGGGACUAGAAGAACUCUUAAAAACAAGUUUGUUGACUACCAGAUGGUUUCACUCAUCUGUGGAAUCUACAGAUCUGAUUCACAUGAACUUGCCAAAAAAAAAAAAAAAAAGAAGGAGAAGAAGAAGAAGCAAACUGUUUCUAAGACUUGCGGGAACCCUGGUGGUUAUCUUUGAGAGGGGUAGUAAGUUGAAGAAAACUCUGAACUGCUGUUGCUUUAGAAGGACAAUGAUCUAGAGGGUCCCUGAGAGCAAUAUUCCUAUUCCACUGAAGGAGCCACCAGGUUCCAGGUGCUACCACGAUGCCAACCAGACUUCCCUGGACAAACGACCCCACCAAUGUGUCCUGGAGCUUUGAUUCCCCAGAGCCCCACCCCACGAGGGAAAGAGAGACAGGCUGGGAGUAUGGAUUGACCUGUCAACGCCCAUGUUCAGCGGGGAAGCAAUUACAGAAGCCAGACCUUCCACCUUCUGCACCCCACAAUGACCUUGGGUCCAUGCUCUCAGAGGGUUAAAGAAUAGGAAGGCUAUAAGGGGAGGGGAUGGGAUACAGAGUUCUGGUGGUGGGAAUUGUGUGGAGUUGUACCCCUCUUAUCCUAUAUUUUUUGUCAGUGUUUCCUUUUUUUAAUAUUUAUUUAUUUUCUCUUUGUUGCUUUGUUGUUUUUCAUUGUUGUAGUUGUUGUUAUUGAUAUCGACGUUGUUAGAUAGGACAGAGAGAAAUGGAGAGAGAAGGGGAAGACAGAGAGGGGGAGAGAAAGAUAGACACCUGCAGACCUGCUUCACCGCCUGUGAAGCAUCUUCCCUGCAGGUGGGGAGCCGGGGACUCAAACCAGGAUCCUUACGGGUCCUUUCGCUUUGCACCACAUGCACUUAGCCUGCUAAGCUACUGCCCGACUCUCUUGUUUCCUUUUUAUAAAUAAAUUUUUUUAAAUUAAAAUAAAAUUUUAUCUCUAGUU